AUGCGUUCCAAGGAGGCAAGCCUGUUCUGUGGCUCCAUUUCCUUAGACACCCCCAAGAACCUGUCCGUGGGCCGGGAGUGGGCCCGGAAUGCACCCUGCAUCCCGUGUGCCACUAUGUCCAGCAAGGCAGCUGUCAGGCCCCCAGACCUCCGGGGCUAUGUGGACAGGAUUCACCUUGAGAGCAAGAAACUCACCCCAAACCAGGAAGAAGGAAGGCUCGGGUCCGGGGUGGUGGGUCCCAUCAGGGGCGCUUCCUCCACUUCCAUCUGCAGCUCUUCAGCUGAUUCAGCCAGGCCACGGCCCACGUAGCUUGGGGAAGGGCAGAGAGUUAGGAUCAUGGCAAGGCAAGCACCCCGGAAAAGCCACACAUGCCCGAGACAGACACAGGGCAAGGCCUCACCUGCAGGUUGCUCUCCAGUGAAGUGGAGUGACUGCUGGGGGCAAUGACAGGAAAUGGUCCAAAGAAGCAAUAGCCCGGGCUAAGGGCAGCCCCAAACCCAACACUGAGUGGGGAGCCCGGGACUCUGGGGGCCAUGUCGGGGGCAUAGGCAGGCAGGGGCAACACCCACCAGGGCCUGAUCACGAGGGGUCUCUGGUACAGGACAUGUCUGUCCUCAGCCCUGAAGCCAGGCCCACAGGAGAAGGCAUUGGAGGACGCUUGGCAGGAGAUGGAGACUCCAGAAGGGGCUUGUGGGGGCACUGGGUACCUGCUGGGAACAGGCAGCUGGAGAGGGAGAGGCUCCCAAGGCAGGGAGCGGGGCGGGGGCGGGGGGGUAGUCAGACCACAGGAGGGCCCAGUGACCACAGGUAUGGGCUUGGCAGAGAGAACAAGCCAGAGGGCUGCACAACUAAGCCCUGGAGCCCAGGGACUGAGGCAGAGAAGAGGAGAUGGGCCUGCGAGCAGAAUGCUUGGUGAGUAAGGAACCUGGCCGCUGGAGAGCCAGCUGAGCCACCAGGGAGAGAAGCAACCAGAUGGGCAAAGGCAGAGCCUGCAGACGCACCCUGGAGUUUUCCCCGCUGGUCCCCGGCAUGGGAUGCCGGCCUCAGCAGCUGUUAGAGGGUCAAGGAGCUGGACCAACCCCCGGGGGAGGAAAGCAUCACGGCAAGGGAAGGGUCGAAGUCACGACCGCACCUCGAGAGGGAGACCUGUGGCCAAAGCCCGGGGGCACACACUACCGCUGUUCCCAUGCCCACAUUGGUCCUGAGACUCAGGCCCUGGGGUCCAGAACAGCUCAGCAUCAGGAAUGGGGCAGGGAAGGCCGAGAGGGAGGACGGGCUGGCUCCCACCAGAGCAGAGCCCUGGCGAUGGCUGAAAUCUGCCCUCACACCCUCCGGCCUGCCCUCCAUGGAGCCGGAGAACAGGCUGCUCCAGCCGCUGGGGCGACCCCCCGGCCUGCCCUCCUGGGAUGCAGAGGCCAUCAAGGGAUGCGCUACGGUGACAGGUGCCCAGGCCAGAGCCAGGGCUGUGGGCUUGCUCAGUUAGGAUCAACUGUUGGAUGACGGAAUGGCCGCGCGAGUAAAUGCAAGGACGCGACCAGCAAGGCCCCCGUUCAAAUGGGGCAGGGGUCGGAAGCUGCCCACACCCCUCCGGGAAACGAAUCCACCCUGCACCCUUUUCACCUGGAACUCCUCGCAUGGCCCACCUAGUGGCUCAGCUGCGGUGGUCGAGUCCUUUCAUUCAGUCGCCUGGAGAAACCAACAUCCCACAUACUCUAACUGAGCCCCAUUCUGUGCCAGGCUGGCGCUGGGACACCCUGAGGAGGUGUGGGGCUGUGGGGCUGGCCAAGGGCAUCCUAGGAGGGCCAAGUCAGGAAUUGGGAAGGGAGAGAAGGAGACAUUGAGAGAGGAUAGAGAAGGCAACAAGCAGAAAAAGCAUUUGGCUCUUAGAGGAAUCCAGUGGGGACACUCCCUGGCCAUGCGCCUCCUUUCCCAUCUGUCUAAGCUGCAUCUUCCCCGUUUCCAGGAGAUAACUUUGAUGGCUCAAGGGAUGUUAUGGGAUGAGCAGGCUCUGGGUCAGAGGACCAACAAGGGAAGCCAGCCAGGCCCCUGGACUGAAGAGUUGGGGCAGGGCUCCCUGUGCACAGGUGACUGAGUACUACGUCCUCUCAAGGCACAGACCUGCCCCUGCUGGCUCUCAGGUGCCCCAGAAACAAGUAGCCAGGUUAAAGGUACCACCCCUACACUCAAGGGAGCAGUGAGACCCCUCUGCCAAUGCCUCGGAAAAGUCCAGAGACCCAAGCAGGAUGGGGAUGUGGGGGGAUAACUUUUGAAAGUUUAUUGGCCCAGCACUGUGGCUCACGCCUGUAAUCCCAGCACUUUGGGAGGCCGAAGUGGGCAGAUCAUGAGGUCAAGACAUCAAGACCAUCCU
Non-coding RNA from Callithrix jacchus (white-tufted-ear marmoset), 2368 nucleotides. Lineage: Eukaryota; Metazoa; Chordata; Mammalia; Primates; Cebidae. The record is from RefSeq and is a predicted model, not a curated record.